RNAcentral lists this long non-coding RNA (716 nucleotides) under Homo sapiens (human). RNAcentral describes it as "HSALNT0205509". The record is from RNAcentral. Lineage: Eukaryota; Metazoa; Chordata; Mammalia; Primates; Hominidae.
CUCCACGCUGGUCUCAUAAUGAUGUAAUUAAGGUUCCAAAUCAGUUGGCCUUAAGAUGGGGAGAUGCUUGUAUGCUCGAUCUCUGGGUCUAGAAGUGAGAAACCUGGAAGCCAGAGAAACGUGAAGUAUGAGACAGGCUGAAUGUGAGGAAAAUGGCAGGAGCCAUGCGGCCUUUGAUGUGGGUGGCCUCUAGGAGUUGAGAGCAGCCUCACUGACAGCCAACAAGGAAAGAGGGGCCUUGGUCUGCAAACAGCAAGAAACUGGAUUCUGCCAACCACCUGAAAGAACUUGGAAACAGACUCUUUCCUAGAGCCUCCUGUGAUCUUCUUCUCAAAACAUAGAACCCCAGUCCAACCAGAGAGUAUCAGACAAACCAACACUGAGGAAUGUUCUACAAAAUACCUGACCAGUGUUUCUCAAAACCCUCAAAGUCAGCAAAAACAAGGACAACCUGAGAAUCUAUUGCAGUUAGGGAAAGAUGAUGGCUAAAUUUAAUAGGUUAAACUGGAUGGAUCCUGGAACAGAAAAGGGGAAUUAGCAACAAACUACUGACAUCCAAAUAAACAAUAGAGUUCAGUUAAUAGUGUGCAAACAUUGGUCCCUUGGUUAUAAUAAAUGUACGGUAGUAAGGUAAGAUGUUAACAAUGGAGGGAACUGGGUCUAUGCAACUUUCUGUAAAUCUAAAACUAUUCUAAAAUAAAAGAUUUAUUUAAAAA